UGGGGAAUAUUGCACAAUGGAGGAAACUCUGAUGCAGCGACGCCGCGUGAGUGAUGAAGUAGUUCGCUAUGUAAAGCUCUAUCAGCAGGGAAGAUAGUGACGGUACCUGACUAAGAAGCUCCGGCUAAAUACGUGCCAGCAGCCGCGGUAAUACGUAUGGAGCAAGCGUUAUCCGGAUUUACUGGGUGUAAAGGGAGUGUAGGUGGCCAGGCAAGUCAGAAGUGAAAGCCCGGGGAUCAACCCCGGGACUGCUUUUGAAACUGCAGGGCUAGAGUGCAGGAGGGGCAAGUGGAAUUCCUAGUGUAGCGGUGAAAUGCGUAGAUAUUAGGAGGAACACCAGUGGCGAAGGCGGCUUGCUGGACUGUAACUGACACUGAGGCUCGAAAGCGUGGGGAGCAAACAGGAUUAGAUACCCUGGUAGU
This 422-nucleotide ribosomal RNA is filed under the name uncultured Lachnospiraceae bacterium. RNAcentral's name for it is "bacterial SSU rRNA". It matches the Rfam family "Bacterial small subunit ribosomal RNA", at positions 355 to 794 of the family's 1533-position model. The record is from RNAcentral. Lineage: Bacteria; Bacillati; Bacillota; Clostridia; Lachnospirales; Lachnospiraceae.